AUUGAACGCUGGCGGUAGGCCUAACACAUGCAAGUCGAACGGCAGCACAGUAAGAGCUUGCUCUUACGGGUGGCGAGUGGCGGACGGGUGAUGAAUACAUCGGAAUCUACUUUUUCGUGGGUGAUAACGUAGGGAAACUUACGCUAAUACCGCAUACGACCUACGGGUGAAAGCAGGGGAUCUUCGGACCUUGCGCGAUUGAAUGAGCCGAUGUCGGAUUAGCUAGUUGGCGGGGUAAAGGCCCACCAAGGCGACGAUCCGUAGCUGGUCUGAGAGGAUGAUCAGCCACACUGGAACUGAGACACGGUCCAGACUCCUACGGGAGGCAGCAGUGGGGAAUAUUGGACAAUGGGCGCAAGCCUGAUCCAGCCAUACCGCGUGGGUGAAGAAGGCCUUCGGGUUGUAAAGCCCUUUUGUUGGGAAAGAAAAGCAGCAGGUUAAUACCCCGCUGUUCUGACGGUACCCAAAGAAUAAGCACCGGCUAACUUCGUG
Molecule: ribosomal RNA, 492 nt
Filed under: uncultured bacterium
Lineage: Bacteria
Description: partial 16S ribosomal RNA
Rfam family: Bacterial small subunit ribosomal RNA
Source: RNAcentral